This 999-nucleotide long non-coding RNA is filed under the name Calidris pygmaea (Spoon-billed sandpiper). RNAcentral describes it as "lncRNA (ENSCPGG00000013454.1)". Lineage: Eukaryota; Metazoa; Chordata; Aves; Charadriiformes; Scolopacidae. The record is from RNAcentral.
GCACAACCCUGAGCACAACUGUCUUCAUCUGAACUUUAGUGGAUGAGAUGCUGGGAAAUGCAAGGGAAGGCAGAAUUCUUCCUCCUCCAUCUACCAAAAGAGGAGAAGAGCUACCUGGGAGAGUGAUGAAGUGAGAAAUUGCUGACAGAGUGAAUUUCUUUCCACACUGAAUAAGAAGGUUGUACUGUAACAUGGACCAUGAUGUUAUUUUGCUUUCUUGGUGUGGCGAUUGCACACACAAAUUCUGCCAGACCACCCAUCUGGGUGGGUGUGUACAGCUACAAGAACUACCUUCACACAUACAUUGCAGAGAGAAGCUGCUACUGACGGCUGAAGAAAAGGCUGCUGAAAACAAGAGCCAUAAGCCUUACGCCCACGGUAUGCAAGAAUGUUUUUCAUGUACUGCCAUCUGCUGUCGCAGCGUACCCAUUUCAUCACUACACUGUUCUCCUGGGGUUUUCAUUCCAGAAGCAAGCACAUCCCUUCCAAGAAGUCUGUUAAAAAUGCAGUUAAGUUGGAAGAACUGCUUUAAUUCAUACGUGCUCUGCCUGAUACAGCAUGCAAUGAGAUUCUAAAAAUUCUGCUUUCAGUUGUGGCAAUAGCCAAAGGAGUGUUAUUUUUUCUCCCAUUUAACUUAUUCACUAGUAAGUUUGUAUCUUUAGUCAGACCAUAGCCAGAGCAUUCGUAUUCUAAAUCAGCAGUAAAUUUACAGCAAAACAUACACACACGUAUCACAAGCUUCACAUAUAUUUAUACACACUGAAAUUAUAAAAGAUCAUGCAAGUGCAUAAAUACAUUUACAUGUACUGCUGUACUUAUUCAGACUGCUGGUUCAGAAUACAUGUUAUGGUUUGCAUAUAUAUAAGCUACGGAUUUGCAUCCAAAAUCUGAUCAGUUAGCACCUUGUUCCCUACAUGUGUAUUAUAAAAAAAUAGAACGUAGUGUUUCAGAAGCUGGUAGGAAAAUAAAAGACUUUGUGUGUAAUUGAAUAAGGGGUGA